GGUAGGCAAGGGAGUCAUCAGGUCAUCUUGUGGGGAGUUGUGAAGAAGGAUAGAGAAGGCUCUUAUCUGAGUCCUUGAGGAGGGCUGGAGACUUAUUCCUGAUGCUUCCAGUCAACAAAUUUCAUGAGAAGGGUUCAGUGGAAAUUUCACAGGAAGGCCUGGGACCUUAAGUUACUAGUGAGAGAAUGUAACCAACUGAAUACUAAGCUCUCUCAACAGCACCACACUACCUCUACAAUGAGAGUACCUACUGUGUUGCAGAGAUUAAAUUGUGUAGGCUCUGUGGAAAUGAAAUGAAUAAGACACAACCUGUUUCCUGGCAGAGCUCGUAUUUCGGAGGGGAAAGAGGCCGACACACAAAUAAGACAAUUCUGGAACACAAGUACAUUUAGAAAGGGUGGAAUGAGCAGAGUCACAGAAAAUAAGGAGGAUGGUUGUGAGGACCAAGAAUCAUUCAUGAAUAAGUGAAGAAAAGAAGCAGAGGUGUAUCGGUAAGAUCGGGCAAGAGCAGAAAAAAAUGAAGAUUACGCGAUAUGGAGGAAAGUCCUAUGGUUCCCUGUCCUUUGCUGAAAGCUGUGUUGCAAAAUAACAUUGACCUGCAGACAUAUGGUCUGGCUGGAUGAAGGGGCUCAACGAAUGCCAACUGGAGCUGGGAUUUCUCUUUCUAUCUCAUCUCUACAUUGUUUUGGUUGACUUUGACCCCAGGAGGGCUCUCUCCUCAUGGUCAGCAGCAGCUGUUAAUCUUUAGUGGUCUUGUUUUCAAAUCUCAUGCAAAAGAGUGAGAACCUUUGUCCCUGGAUUCCUAGAAGUGUCUCUUUGUCUAUAAGUCGGCCGGUGCCCAUCAUUGAACCAGUCACUAUGGCCUAGGUUAGUGUGCCAUGCUGAUUGGCUUAGGUCUGUGUCACACAUCAUCCUUAAGCUAUCUCUGGAGGGUCACCUGGAAUCCACGUGCUGAGAGAGAGGGGGAACUAGCGUCAGGGCACUGUUACCAGGAGAAACAUGAGUGAGUGCUGGGUGGUAAAAACAGCCAUUCACGGAUGUUACUGUUCUCCACGCAUGUUGGUUUUUCUAGUGUUCCCUUUUCAUUUUAGACCCAGUUAAAUGAACCAACGCCUUCUUAAUUCAAUUCCAUUCAGCAAUCAAGCACUGAGUACCUGUUUUAUGCCUGGCCCUGUGUUAGUCCCUGCAGGAACAGAGCUGAAAAAGACGUAUGGAUCCUACUUUGAAGAAGCUUAUAGGCAGGAAAACAUUUAAUCUCUCUUAUCUCUAAAUAACUAACAUAUUUUCUUAUAUUUCAUUGACAUGAUUUAAUCUUUUGGCAUCAUCAGUAUUUUCUGCCUUAGAAAGUAGGUUUAGGGAAGACAAGAAUGUGCUCUUUUUAGCUGUUCUGUACUAGUUCUCAGCUUUUCAGUGAAGAGUCUUCCAGUGGACAUUACUUAUCCAAGGGCUAAAAGGAUAUUGAGAACUCUUGAAGUUUGUCUGUUUAACUUCACACAUUGGUGACAGAUCAAAGUAAGGGAAAGGAACUCAACAACUGUCUUUGUGAACUGCAUUAUUAUUUAACUACUUCUGUCCUUUUUUUAAAAUUAUUAUUUUAUUGAGAUGACAUUGGUUUAUACCAUCGUGUAA
Long non-coding RNA from Equus quagga, 1629 nucleotides. RefSeq lists it as uncharacterized. The record is from RefSeq and is a predicted model, not a curated record. NCBI's taxonomy places the organism in Eukaryota, Metazoa, Chordata, Mammalia, Perissodactyla, Equidae. The transcript is spliced from 3 exons.